AACGAACGCUGGCGGCACGUUUUAAGCAUGCAAGUCGAAUGGCAGCAGGGGCAACUCUGUGAGAAUGGCGAACGGGUGAGUAACACGUAGGUGAUCUGCCUUGAGGAUGGGGAUAGCCUGUGGAAACACAGGGUAAUACCGAAUAAGCUGACGGGACUUUGGUUUUGUUAGUAAAGGUGCUACGGCACCGCCUUGAGAGGAGCCUGCGGCUGAUUAGCUAGUUGGUGGGGUAAAGGCCUACCAAGGCGACGAUCAGUAGCCGGCCUGAGAGGGUGUACGGCCACACUGGGACUGAGACACGGCCCAGACUCCUACGGGAGGCAGCAGCUAAGAAUCUUCCGCAAUGGGCGAAAGCCUGACGGAGCGAUGCCGCGUGAUCGAUGAAGGUCGAGAGAUUGUAAAGAUCUUUUCUACAUGAGGAAUAAGUCUGGGAGGGAAUGCCUGGAUGAUGACGUUAGUGUAGGAAUAAGCCCCGGCUAAUUACGUGCCAGCAGCCGCGGUAA
This 503-nucleotide ribosomal RNA is filed under the name uncultured bacterium. RNAcentral's name for it is "partial 16S ribosomal RNA". It matches the Rfam family "Bacterial small subunit ribosomal RNA", at positions 29 to 523 of the family's 1533-position model. The record is from RNAcentral.